GACGAACGCUGGCGGCGUGCUUAACACAUGCAAGUCGAACGGAAAGGCCCUGCUUUUGUGGGGUGCUCGAGUGGCGAACGGGUGAGUAACACGUGAGUAACCUGACCUUGACUUUGGGAUAACUUCAGGAAACUGGGGCUAAUACCGGAUAGGAGCUCAUGCUGCAUGGUGGGGGUUGGAAAGUUUCGGCGGUUGGGGAUGGACUCGCGGCUUAUCAGCUUGUUGGUGGGGUAGUGGCUUACCAAGGCUUUGACGGGUAGCCGGCCUGAGAGGGUGACCGGCCACAUUGGGACUGAGAUACGGCCCAGACUCCUACGGGAGGCAGCAGUGGGGAAUAUUGCACAAUGGGCGGAAGCCUGAUGCAGCAACGCCGCGUGCGGGAUGACGGCCUUCGGGUUGUAAACCGCUUUCGCCUGUGACGAAGCGUGAGUGACGGUAAUGGGUAAAGAAGCACCGGCUAACUACGUG
Molecule: ribosomal RNA, 468 nt
Filed under: uncultured bacterium
Lineage: Bacteria
Description: partial 16S ribosomal RNA
Rfam family: Bacterial small subunit ribosomal RNA
Source: RNAcentral